CAGAGGGUGCAAGCGUUGCUCGGAAUCAUUGGGCGUAAAGGGUAGGUAGGUGGUCUCGUUUGUCUGGGGUGAAAGCCCAGGGCUUAACCCUGGAAGUGCCCCAGAAACGGCGAGACUAGAGUCUUGGAGAGGGUCGUGGAAUUCCCGGUGUAGCGGUGAAAUGCGUAGAGAUCGGGAGGAACACCAGAGGCGAAGGCGGCGACCUGGACAAGUACUGACACUCAACUACGAAAGCGUGGGGAGCAAACAGGAUUAGAUACCCUGGUAGUCCACGCUGUAAACGAUGGGUACUAGGUUUGAUGGGUCUUGACCCCCGUCGAACCGGCGCUAACGCAAUAAGUACCCCGCCUGGGAAGUACGGUCGCAAGACUA
This 372-nucleotide ribosomal RNA is filed under the name uncultured organism. Its description in RNAcentral is "bacterial SSU rRNA". It matches the Rfam family "Bacterial small subunit ribosomal RNA", at positions 526 to 896 of the family's 1533-position model. The record is from RNAcentral.